RNAcentral lists this ribosomal RNA (253 nucleotides) under uncultured bacterium. RNAcentral describes it as "partial 16S ribosomal RNA". It matches the Rfam family "Bacterial small subunit ribosomal RNA", at positions 524 to 776 of the family's 1533-position model. The record is from RNAcentral.
UACGUAGGGCGCAGGCGUUGUCCGGAAUUAUUGGGCGUAAAGAGCUCGUAGGCGGCUUGUCACGUCGAUUGUGAAAGCCCGAGGCUUAACCUCGGGUCUGCAGUCGAUACGGGCUAGCUAGAGUGUGGUAGGGGAGAUCGGAAUUCCUGGUGUAGCGGUGAAAUGUGCAGAUAUCAGGAGGAACACCGGUGGCGAAGGCGGAUCUCUGGGCCAUUACUGACGCUGAGGAGCGAAAGCGUGGGGAGCGAACAGG